CACGACAAAAGCAGAAGAGUAUACAAAAUAAUAACCUUCUUAUUAAGAGUUUUCCACCGGGUGUUAACAUCUUCAAGGUCAUGUUCAAGGCUUUCUGUGUUGGUACUUUUAGCAGCACUUUGAAUUAGGCCUUGACCCAACCAGUUCACCUCCUGUUGUUUAACUUGCAGGGGCUCAAUUUCUUCUUUCUGGAAUACCUUGAACGUAUUCAGCUGCUGAUUAAUAGUUUCUGUUUCCAUUCCAACAGGACCUUGCGAUUCUUCAUGUUCUUCAGCUCUCCCAAGCAGACUGGAGAAUUCUUUUAGCUUACUGUAAAACUCCUCAACACGGUUAAUUGUACCUUCCACUUGAUCUUCCCUGGCUUUUGCUCUGUCUAGUAGUUUGUUGCAUUGUUUAUUUAAUGCUUCCAAGUCCCGUUUUAUACCAACAAGAUCAGGAGAAGCUUCAGCUUCUGUGGCUAGCAUCAUUUUACAGUUUUUAUUAGCAUUUUCAUUAUUCAUUAUAAGAUCUUCCAACUUUUUCAGGAAAUGUUUUAUAUCCUCUCUCUGUGAUUGCAGUACAUCAAGAUCUCUC
Molecule: long non-coding RNA, 573 nt
Filed under: Gallus gallus (chicken)
Lineage: Eukaryota; Metazoa; Chordata; Aves; Galliformes; Phasianidae
Source: RNAcentral